RNAcentral lists this ribosomal RNA (1484 nucleotides) under uncultured Bordetella sp. RNAcentral describes it as "partial 16S-23S ribosomal RNA intergenic spacer". It matches the Rfam family "Bacterial small subunit ribosomal RNA". Lineage: Bacteria; Pseudomonadati; Pseudomonadota; Betaproteobacteria; Burkholderiales; Alcaligenaceae. The record is from RNAcentral.
GCUGGCGGAUGCUUUACACAUGCAAGUCGAACGGCAGCACGGACUUCGGUCGAAAAUAUAUGAACGGUGAGUAAAGGUAUCGAACGUGCUCUAGUAGUGUGGAUAAAUCACGCGAAAGCGUAUAAUAUCGCAUUACUGCCCUUUGGGAAAGCGGGGACCUUCGGGCCUCGUGACCAUUAGAGCGGCUUUGAUAUCGUGAUUUAGCUAGAAGCUGGUGUGGGGCAAUUGCCCCACUAAGGCAUGAUCCCGUAGCUUGCCUUCGGAGGAGGACGACCAGCCACACUUUGGGACUGGAGGAGACGGGCCCAGACUCCUACGGGAGGCAGCAGUGGGGAAUUCUGGACAAUGGGGGAAACCCUGAUCCAGCCAUCCCGCGUGUGUGCGAUGAAGGCCUUCGGGUUGUAAAGCACUUUUGGCAGGAAAAGAAACGGCACGGGAGCACACCUCGUGCAACUGACGGUACCUUGCAGAAUAAGCACCGGCCAAUCACGUGUCAGCAGCCGCGGUAAUACGUAGGGUGCAAGCGUUAAUCGGAAUUACUGGGCGUAAAGCGUGCGCAGGCGGUUCGGAAAGAAAGAUGUGAAAUCCCAGAGCUUAACUUUGGAACUGCAUUUUUAACUACCGAGCUAGGAUUAUGUGUCAGAGGGAGGUGGAAUUCCGCGUGUAGCAGUGAAAUGCGUAGAUAUGCGGAGGAACACCGAUGGCGAAGGCAGCCUCCUGGGAUAACACUGACGCUCAUGCACCUGUUAGAGCAACAGGAUUAGAUACUCCUGGUAGUCCACGCCCUAAACGAUGUCAACUAGCUGUUGGGGCCUUCGGGCCUUGUAGCGCAGCUAACGCGGUGAAGUUGACCGCCUGGGGAGUACGGUCGCAAGAUUAAACUCAAAGGAAUUGACGGGGACUCGCACAAGCGGUGGAUGAUGCGGAUUAAUUCGAUGCAACGCAGCGAAAAACCUUACCUACCCUUGACAUGUCUGGCAACUCGAAGAGGAUUUGGGGGAGGCGCCUGCAAGAGAACCGGAACACAGGUGUUGCAUGGCUGUCGUCAGCUCGUGUCGAGAUGUUGGGUUAAGUCCUGCAACGAGCGCAACCCUUGUCAUUAGUUGCUACGAAAGGGCACUCUAAUGAGACUGCCGGUGACAAACCGGAGGAAGGUGGGGAUGACGCUUCAAGUCCUCAUGGCCCUUAUGGGUAGGGCUUCACACGUCAUACAAUGGUCGGGACAGAGGGUCGCCAACCCGCGAGGGGGAGCUAAUCCCAGAAACCCGAUCGUAGUCCGGAUCGCAGUCUGCAACUCGACUGCGUGAAGUCGGAAUCGCUAGUAAUCGCGGAUCAGCAUGUCGCGGUGAAUAUGUUCUUGGCCUCGAAGAAGACUCGCCCAAGGCCACCCAUGUGGAGUGGGUUUUACCAGAAGUAGUUAGCCUAACCGUAAGGAGGGCGAUUACCACGGUAGGAUUCAUGAUCAUGAAGCCGUAACAAGGUAA